GGCUCAGGAUGAACGCUAGCUACAGGCUUAACACAUGCAAGUCGAGGGGAAACGAUAUUGGAAGCUUGCUUCCGAUAGGCGUCGACCGGCGCACGGGUGAGUAACGCGUAUCCAACCUGCCCAUCACUUGGGAAUAACCUUGCGAAAGUAAGACUAAUGCCCAAUGACAUUUAUAGAAGGCAUCUGAAAUGAAUUAAAGAUUUAUCGGUGAUGGAUGGGGAUGCGUCUGAUUAGCUUGUUGGCGGGGUAACGGCCCACCAAGGCGACGAUCAGUAGGGGUUCUGAGAGGAAAGCCCCCCACAUUGGAACUGAGACACGGUCCAAACUCCUACGGGAGGCAGCAGUGAGGAAUAUUGGUCAAUGGGCGAGAGCCUGAACCAGCCAAGUAGCGUGCAGGAUGACGGCCCUAUGGGUUGUAAACUGCUUUUAUAGGGGGAUAAAGUGUGCCACGUGUGGCAUAUUGCAGGUACCCUAUGAAUAAGGACCGGCUAAUUCCGUG
RNAcentral lists this ribosomal RNA (499 nucleotides) under uncultured bacterium. RNAcentral describes it as "bacterial SSU rRNA". It matches the Rfam family "Bacterial small subunit ribosomal RNA", at positions 21 to 507 of the family's 1533-position model. The record is from RNAcentral.